Molecule: ribosomal RNA, 274 nt
Filed under: uncultured bacterium
Lineage: Bacteria
Description: partial 16S ribosomal RNA
Rfam family: Bacterial small subunit ribosomal RNA
Source: RNAcentral
AUACGGAGGGUGCAAGCGUUAUUCGGAAUCACUGGGCGUAAAGGACGCGUAGGCGGGUUGGCAAGCCAGAUGUGAAAUCCUACAGCUUAACUGUAGAACUGCAUUUGAAACUGCUAACCUAGAGUAUGGGAGGGGGAGAUGGAAUUAGUGGUGUAGGGGUAAAAUCCGUAGAUAUCACUAGGAAUACCGAAAGCGAAGGCGAUCUCCUGGAACAUAACUGACGCUAAGGCGUGAAAGCGUGGGGAGCAAACAGGAUUAGAAACCCUAGUAGUCC